GAAUAUUGGGCAAUGGGUGAGAGCCUGACCCAGCCAUGCCGCGUGCAGGAAGAAGGCGUUCUGCGUUGUAAACUGCUUUUGAUCGGGAAGAAAGCGUCUUUGCGAAGACAGUUGACGGUACCGAUAGACUCAGCACCGGCUAACUCCGUUCCAGCAGCCGCGGUAACACGGAGGGUGCAAGCGUUGUUCGGAUUUAUAGGGUUUAAAGGGUGCGUAGGCGGGUAGGUAAGUCAGUGGUGAAAGGCAGCGGCUCAACCGUUGAGUUGCCGUUGAUACUGCCAGUCUUGAGUGCACUAGAGGUAAGUGGAAUUUAUGGUGUAGCGGUGAAAUGCAUAGAUACCAUAAAGAACACCAAUAGCGAAGGCAGCUUACUAGAGUGUAACUGACGCUGAGGCACGAAAGCGUGGGGAGCGAACAGG
Molecule: ribosomal RNA, 419 nt
Filed under: uncultured bacterium
Lineage: Bacteria
Description: bacterial SSU rRNA
Rfam family: Bacterial small subunit ribosomal RNA
Source: RNAcentral